RNAcentral lists this long non-coding RNA (1396 nucleotides) under Nicotiana benthamiana. RNAcentral describes it as "long non-coding RNA (NBEN_LNC038967)". Lineage: Eukaryota; Viridiplantae; Streptophyta; Magnoliopsida; Solanales; Solanaceae. The record is from RNAcentral.
CCCUUUCGAUGCAAGAACUAAAACCUCUCCCGCACCCUUUGACUAUACUCCCCGAGUUUUUACAUAAAUUAUUACAAACCAGAAAAGAGAUCAAAAAAUAAAUCAAAGCCUAACAGCUAAAUCGAAGCAGCCUAAUUCAAUCUUAAUGUCUAAUAACAUGUGAUUAACCAAUUUUGGAUCCAGAUUUCUAAAGCCUUCUCUUUAUCCAAAGUGUUUCAAAGUUCCACGGAAUCUCAAGGAUUCCCGGCAUUGCUUAUACUCGGGACACCAUUAGAAUUAGAAUAGUGCAGUGUGAAAGAGCCAGCCCUCAGUAAUACAAGUUCAGAGGGAGCUCAAAUUUCCCAAAUCAUGGCUUGCAAGAUGGGGCAGAACCUAUUGCUAGGAGUAAGUGUAAAGUGAAAAGGAAAUUGGGGAGCCUUAACAAAUGGUGGUCAUGCCUAGCCACAAGUAUAGGCUGGCACACCCCUGAGCACUUGUUUGGUUAAACAAGUUAGGUGCAGACCCUUGAAGUUCAAACACAAGUCUGGAUAAUGAUUAGGACACCAUCAGACCCAAGUCCAAGGCGCAAACACAUAAAGGGGAAAGAGGAGUGGGAAUUGAUUGAGUUAAGGGUUCAAAGAACCCAGUUUAGAGUCAUAGGUAUUUCACAUAAGAGAAGUAGUAACAAAGUUGAAGGAACACAGUAAAGAAGAGCAUAACAGAACUUAGGAUGUAAACACAUAGUGGAGGAGCAUUAUUUAAACUAUGAGGAUCAUACCAGCUAUAAAAUGAGAAUAAAUAGAAUAACAGAACAAGCAAACAGCAUGAGCAAACUAAAAUUCUCAACAGAACCCUUGAAAGCUCGAAGAGAACUCAAAGGUAUUUCACAAGGUAAAAAGGAGAAGAAGAGAGUGGAAGAGAAAGUAAGAUUACAAUUCGAGAUUCUGUUCAAUUGUCUCAAGUGCAGAAAAAGUGUGUGUCAAGGGCAGAAGGUAAGCCUCCUUUUAUAGUGCAGAAAACAAGUAGGAAGAGGUAAGAAAUAACUUUGAAAAAUCAGUUUCAAUGAUUUCCCUUCAGUCAAGGGAUUUGAUAUCAGAACAUACCAGUUGCAAAAAUAGAAUAAGCAAAAUAACAGAGCAAGCAAACAGCAGGAACAAACUCAAAUUCUCAGCAGAACACUUGAAGGUUCGAAGAGAACUCAAAGGUGUUUCAGAAAGCAAAGAGUAUAGAGAAAAAGAGAGUAGAAAAUAUAGUGCUUAAUACUGUUGUGUGUGUAAUAAUGCAACUCGAGAAUCUUAUUCUGAUUGUAUGUGUCAAGUGCAGAAAAAGUGUGUUUAACUGUAGAAGGGUAGUCCCCUUUUAUAGUGAAGAAAACAAGUAGGAUAAGGUAAGAAAUAACUUCGAAAAUCAGUCUCAA